GCCUCUGCCUCUCGCUCACCUACUCGCUCGCUCCUCUCCGCGACCUCCUUCUCCUCCGCGCACCUAGGACCGUCCCUCCCAGGUCUAGGCCAGCUCCCGCCCCGCUGGCCGCCGCCGCCGAAGUUGAGGCCCCACCGCUCGAACGAAGGACUCUCUCGUUUCUCACUCGACUCUCUGUACCUCUCUCUCUCGUGCCCUCCCUUCCUCUUUCCUUCUCCCUCCGCCCGGCACCAACCAAGAGGCCGCCGUGACCUAGCCACGUGCCCGCGCCUCGAGGACGAGCCCCUGCGCUUCUAGGUCCCUCCGUGAGCCCACGCUCCGACGCCCAGUUACGUCUCUACCGCGACGAGUACGUUGAAACUUCUUCCGCGGCUCUGCAGUAGAUGUAGGCGUCAAUGUAUCCUGAAGACAGUUACGGGUUGGCUAUUACUUGUCCAAACCCAGGUAGAUAUUGUACGAACUGGCCCGCUAGUGCGCCGGCAGUUCGUGAGAAUAGAUGACCAGUAUUCGAGAAUGGUUGAUUCUACAACAGCCAGCCCACAGGAGAUGAUGACUUCAAAAUGGUGGUAGACCACCACGAACUCUAGUCUCUGCUGUAUGAAAGUAGUCGUCGCCGGUUUAGGGGUCGCGGCGGACACAACAUGUGGGGACAUGGGGAGCUGUAGGUCACGGAGCGCAGACGGGUUGUACUUGUGGAGGAGUUAUCAACUAAAACGAGGUCCUAUCAAGGGAAAUACGCGUACUUGAUUACCCACACAAGUGUUGCAUCUCGUCGAAGAGGAAGGUCAGAGUACAGAAAGAGAAGUCGUCCCUAGUCACUCAUGAUGGCUCGUUUUUACGGGAAGAGAAGCAGUAUAAAGAAGGAAAAGGAAUGAUGAAAACACCGAGGUUUAGAGAACUACCGAGAUACAGACAAGAAAAACAACUGUACCUAAAAUGGGACUUUCAAAGGAAGACUAGAUGUUACAAGACGAUAGAUUUAAGCAGACAUAUAACACUUACUCAUCUGUGACCACGUCUUCGGGUUAACCUACUUUUAUGCCUGAUAUCUCUCCACAUUAAUAAUUAAUUAAAGAACGAAAUUUUCUAUACGUUGAUCGUCUCAAGGAAUAAAAGUAGUUAACCUAAUACUGGUUUCACUUCUUGAAUACACCUGUCAGACCGUCUAAAGUCACCGUUCUAAAAAAAUGUUAAAGUCACCGUCUAAAGUCUUUAAACAUCUCGUGUCCUAAAUGUUCUUGUUCUAUAAGACAGUUCGGUACCUAUAGUUGUUAGUCAGUUCGUUUCUUUAUAAGUACCCUCUAUAUGUCCCUAGGUGUUCUUACACGUAGCAUACAGUGAUGAGUGAUGGGAAAACAGUAACUCGGUGAUAGUGUAAAACCAGUCGUUAGUGAAGUUCGUUAAGAGUCGCGGUAAUCAGUCUUCGAACUUAAAUGUAGACUUGCUUGUUAUGUAGUUCGGUGUCUUCUUUCUCACCAGUAGAGAAAAAGAACCAUGUUUCUACGGUAUGUUCGUAAGUCUGAAGACUUAGCGUGUUCGUCAAACAUAUAUUUACCACACGGUAUAGCAAAAUUGUACCUAUGAAGUUUUCUUAUAGACGGUUCUCACCAGCGACUAGUGAUACUAAUAUCUGAAGAUCAUCGGGAUUUCUCAAACGGAACGCAAACGCAAGUGGACAUCAACAAAAUCGGAAAAUCUUCAUAUACCGCAACGAAUUUGAUACAAAGAAAACCGUUGUUGUAUACUUUACCUCUUUCAAAACAACAAUACCUUUUCAAC
RNAcentral lists this ribosomal RNA (1779 nucleotides) under Triticum aestivum (bread wheat). Its description in RNAcentral is "partial small subunit ribosomal RNA". The record is from RNAcentral. Lineage: Eukaryota; Viridiplantae; Streptophyta; Magnoliopsida; Poales; Poaceae.